This 406-nucleotide ribosomal RNA is filed under the name uncultured bacterium. Its description in RNAcentral is "partial 16S ribosomal RNA". It matches the Rfam family "Bacterial small subunit ribosomal RNA", at positions 30 to 526 of the family's 1533-position model. The record is from RNAcentral.
AUUGAACGCUGGCGGCAGGCUUAACACAUGCAAGUCGAACGAGCGGCGGACGGGUGAGUAAUAUAUGGGUAUGUGCCUGAUGGAGGGGGAUAACUCCUGAAAAAGGUCGCUAAUACCGCAAACCAGCAGAUGACCACAUAUGAUAUUAGGUUGUAGGUGAGGUAACGGCUCACAUAGGAGACGCUCCCUAGCGGGUCGGAGAGGAUGAUCAGCCACACUGGGACUGAGACACGGCCCAGACUCCUACGGGAGGCAGCAGUGGGGAAUAUUGCACAAUGGGCGCAAGCCUGAUGCAGCCAUGCCGCGUGUAUGAAGAAGGCCUUCGGGUUGUAAAGUACUUUCAGUCGGGAGGCGUUACCGACAGAAGAAGCACCGGCUAACUCCGUGCCAGCAGCCGCGGUAAUUC